Molecule: RNA transcript, 7396 nt
Organism: Salvelinus fontinalis (brook trout)
Lineage: Eukaryota; Metazoa; Chordata; Actinopteri; Salmoniformes; Salmonidae
Exons: 2
Source: RefSeq, a predicted model, not a curated record
UGUCAAACUGCCUGGGAGCUCCUCAGUGGUGAAACUCCUCCUCCUUCAAUCAGUGGUGAACCAGGUGGAACAAAUCUUCCAGGCAAUCUGGGCGUGCAGCACCUGGCUCUGCUGUUGUCUUUAGAACGCAGUGAAAGGAGCAUUUAUAGCACCACAAGACCAAGGAAACUUCAUCUAUGUGAUCAAGGUGACUGUGCAAGUCCAAGCCCUCCACAAAACUGUGAAAGACAGCCGGUAAGCGCCAUAUUGGCCAUGUUUUGUUAGAUUGACUUAAGCAGUGCACUGCUAAUGAUACUCUGGAAAACACAGACUUAACUCUUAACUUUGAUAGGACUUUUGCAGUGGUAUUUAUAACUUCAAAUGUUGUUUGUGGGGUAUAAAGUAAGAAGAGCCAAAUUCAUUGUUGAUAGAACUUGUUUGAAAUGGUUAAAAGUAAUUUAAACUUUGUAGAAAUCUUAGUAAACCAAGUUCUUAAUUCAGUAACAAAUGUAUAGUCUGGAAAAUCUUUGGCUAAAAGAUGUAGGAUUUGUCUGCUUAACUGCUGAUUAGAAAAUAAGUGUGGUUUUAGGCUACUAGAGGUAUUUUGAAUGUGUUUGGCUAAAAUGCAAAUUUGGAUAAAAGUGUACUGAUUCUGCUCAUUUGAUUAAAAAUGGUGGGUUUCUAUUUUGGGAAACAUUUGCUUAACAGUGGAAACCUUGUAUUUGAUAAUGGCAGAAAUGUGUUUCUGAGGUGAAUGUGGAUAAUUUUGUGUAUUUAAUUAGGCUGUCAACUCAAAUAAUCACUUGUAUUUGUCAUCUCUUUUUUGAGGUUUUUCACCUGUUUACUGCCAACCAAAGAAUGGUAAAUAAAAGACAAACAACUGAUUCUAUGGCUGUUUAUUGAGUGAAAUCCAGUUAAAAUCUUCACGUGGAGGGAUUGUCCUUUUCAAGUGGGGAAUUGCACAAGAAAGAGGUCAAAACUUGACAGUGAAAAACCGUGGCUCAAGACUGGAAAAGGACAAGAAAAGUGACCACACGUGUCCAGAGAGACAAUUAAAGACUGUUCCCGCCUGCUGCUGUGAUUGAAAUGGCUGAUUCAUUACUGGUGGAGCAGCUAAAGACCGCAAGGACAUCAGCGAAGCGUCAGUUUUCCCGUCUGGCCAAUAAUGUGCUACGAAUGCAUACAAUGAUGUCAGAAGAGGAGCUCAGAGACAAUUUUAGGAAGCUCACUGCAGAAGCUGGCAGAGUCCUGGAAGCCAACGAUGAUGUAGAGAGGCAAUGUAUUGAAGAAAACUCUGAUGCAGAGGAGUUGAGCGAGCAGCAGAAGUCUGACUUGGUCAAAACAGCCAAUGAGUGUGAGAAAAAACUGCAAGAGCUAAAGGACCUCAUACAAAAGACAUUGUGGGCCAAUUUCGGGGAAUAUGAACUGACACAAGCAAUUACAACAGCAGAGUCGCAAGCAGAAAACGUGGGAGCUGUGGACCCAAGUAAAAACCCAGAUGCAUAUCUCUUCAUGAUCGGACAACUAGAGAAACUUGUGAAGGCUGCGAAAGAGGUGCAUAAACAUUGGAAGUGCUGGGCCCCCCCUGCAGAGCAACAACAUUUCCAGAGUCGUAUCAAAGACCUUGAAACUAUCCUGCCAAAUCUCACAAUAAGACAAGCAGACUUUACAGGGGCACACGUUAGAGGAGAAACCAGCAGAUUGAGUACUACUUCAAACAGUUCUGUGGCCACACCAGCAAUUAAAUUAAAGCCUGCUUCCCUCCCAAAGUUUUCUGGCAUCCGCCGAGAGUUUCACCGGUGGAAAAAAGACUGGGAAGCGCUCCAGAUGCAGGGAGAACCUACUGGAUCCAGAGAGGUUAAAAAGUUCCAACUUCUCGACAGUGUGGAUGAGAAGACCAUACGAGACCUUCACCUGACAACUUACACAACUGCUGAGGAGGUUUUCCGGGUCUUGGAGAACCGCUUUGGAAAUAAGACAACUAUAGCCCUUGAGAUAGUAGAAGAGCUCCAAAGACUCCAAGCAGUUAAAGGUAACCAGCCCAGGAGGAUUGUUGAGCUCAUCCAAUCGGUAGAAAAAGCCCUGGUCGAUCUGAACGAGCUUGGCAAGACCGGUGCUAUAAAGAACCCUCUUGUAACAAAGACAAUAGAGAGUAAACUUCCUGAUGGCCUGAAGAAGGAAUGGCUUCUUCAUGUAGCUGGCAAAGGUGAUGAAGCUGAAGAAGACAAGCGAUUUGACUACCUCCACAAGUUUCUUCAAGUUCAAGAAGCCAUCUAUGAGAAGCUGGACCAACUGAGAGAGGAGGAACCAAAACCGAAAUCUGAACCUCGGCAAGCUCGAACCAGAACCUCCACCCAACUAAGCAACCAGGCUCAAGGAUGUGUGGUCUGCGGAGACGGCAAGCAUAAGAAAAGGCUAUAUUUCUGCCAAAAGUUUCGCACGCUUAAGCUGUCAGAGAAAAGAGAUGCUGUCAGGAAGCUGGGAGCCUGCAAAAGAUGCCUGGAGAUUCACAAGGAAGGUGACUGUUGUAAAUCAGAGUUUCUGUGCAGGAGGCCAGACUGCAUAGAACAGCGUGCUGCAGAACACCACUAUUACCUCUGCCCGAGAGCUGGUACAUCCAAAGGGAAUGUCGUCCAGAGGUCCAAUAACAGCAAAGUGGGAGGUGACACAAGAGAGCGUUAUACCCAAGCCCAAGAAGAGUUCAUUAAAAGUCUCUCACCUGAACUUGCAGAGAAGUGUUGCAAUGCCUUUUGCAACACUAUAGCCAGAACCUCUCUUGUGUCCAACCAACCCAGUCUUCUAGCAGAGAAUGGAAUAGUGGAGUGGCCCGUCAUCAUGAUGCUCUUAGAGGUCACGGCCAAUGCAGGACAAAAAGUUGGGACUUUGAUCGACCUGGCAUCGGAUACAAACUAUAUAACUCAUGAUGCAGCUGAUCGUUUGAACCUUAGAAGUGAAGCCAUAACCCUUGUUGUCCAUGGUGUGGGAGGAAUGAAAGUUCAAGUCACCACAAAACGGUACCUCCUAAAGAUCCGGGUCCGCACAGAGCAAGGCAAUGUCAGAUCCCACCAACUCCUCUGCUAUGGUUUGGACAGCAUUGCAGAGAUUCACAAACAUGUGACAGCCAAAAGACUCCAAAAAUUCUUUCCAGAUGUCCCCCAAAAUGAACUUGUUAGACCAAGACAGAUACAGCUUUUGAUAAGCCAUAAGGAAGGGCGACUGGUCCCACAGAAAAUACGCACCGUUGGGGACCUUGUACUAUGGGAUGGGCCAUUGGGAAAGACAAUUGCAGGGACACACCCUGGUCUGUUUGAAGAGGCUACAGUUACAGCACACCAGUCCAGAGCGCACUUCGCCAGAUCCAUGAGAACAGCAGCAUUGAUGUAUGAAGAACAUAUCUGCGCCAAACCUACCAUCAAGUCUUCUUAUUCUGCUAUUUCCACUCGGGAUUUUAUUGAGUGGUGGAGAUGGGAUAGCAUUGGCGCCCCUUGCACCCCAAAAUGUGGAGGAUGUCGCUGCGGCAGUUGUCAACUUGGUGGCAAAGAAAUGACUCUGGCCGAAGAAAGGGAGCUGGAAGUUGUUAAGGGUGGCCUGACUUAUGUUGGUGCUGAUGACCACAGUGAUAGUCCACACUGGCAUGCAAGGUAUCCAUGGCUCAUUGACCCAUCUACAUUGCCAAACAACAUAAAAGCAGUGGAGGCAACCUUUCUCAGAACAGAGAGACAGCUCGCCAAAGAACCGCAGUGGAAAAAAGCCUAUGGUGCUCAAGUCCACGAAAUGGUUGACCGCCGGGCUGCAAGAAAGCUGACCAAAGAGGAUCUAACCAACUGGAAUGGACCUGUCUGGUAUAGUAGUCAUCUUAUCGCACCCAACCCCCUCCCUGUUACAACUCCGGUAAGACUUGUCUGGAACAGCAGUCAGAAGUACAAAGGCCAAAGUCUGAAUGACCUUCUGAUGAAAGGCCCUGACGUUCUCAAUCCGAUUCGAGCUGUCCUCCUCAAGUUCCGCCAAGGCUCCUACGCCGCUUUAGGAGACGUCAGAAAAAUGUACAAUUCUGUGUGGCUCGAGGAGAGGGAAGUCCAUCUACACCGGUUCUUGUGGCGGGAUUCAGAGGGCGAUGAGGUGGAACAAUACGCCAUAACCAGAGUGAAUAUCGGGGACAAGCCAGCAGAGUGCAUAGCACAACUGGCCAUGAGGGAGACGGCUAACCUGCCUCAAUUCAGCCACCUCACAGAUGAAUGCCAAGUAUUACAUGAGCACAGCUACGUCGAUAACAUCUUGACAUCCCACAACUGCCGUGAAAAACUCGAAGUCAUCACAAAGAAUGUGGAGCUGAUUCUAAAAGCAGGAGGGUUUGCACUGAAGCCUUGGGUCUUCUCAGGCCAAAAUAAAGGAGAAAGAGAAAAGGCAUCACCAAAUAUUGUUGUCCUGCCAAAUCAGCUUAAGGAGGAAGACAACAAGGCGCUCGGUCUCAGGUACAUUGUGGAUGAAGACAUGUUGCAUGUCAUGGUGAAGGUCAACUUCUCCAGGCGGAAGAAAAAGAUGAGACUUGGGCAAGACUUACUGCUAGAAAAAGUACAAGCACAGACACCAGACCCGCUGACAAGACGUGAACUGCUGAGUCAAGUUGCUGGUUUGUACGACCCAGUUGGCCUGACAACGCCAUCAAAGCAAAGAGGGGCUAUCUUGGUCCGAAGGGCAUUCCAAGAGGCAAAAUCAAAGGGCAGCAUGGUCAAGGACACAUGGGACCUUCCCCUGUCGGAUGAGCUCCGCAAAGAUGCAAUUGGAAUUUUUGAGGAGUACGUCCAGCUAAGCAAAGUAAUGUUCCCAAGAGCUCUUACUCCACCAAAGGCAACAACUGAACCAGUCGCUGUCACUUUUUCAGAUGGCAGUGAAAGCUCCUAUGGUGCUGUCCUCUACCUGCGGUGGAACUGCAACAAACAAUUAACAAUUCGACUAGUGGAGUCAAAAGCAAAGCUGACACCACUAGACCAGAAGGGGGAUGCAGUCAAAGCAGAACUUUGCGGUGCAGUCUUUGCAAGCCGCCUGAAAAAGUACUUUGAACAGCAUACCCAGAUCCAGAUAAAAAGGUGGUACCAUUUGUUAGACAGUCAGACUGUUCUUGGAGCUAUCCAGCGAGAAAGCUAUGGAUUUCAGACUUUCUUCGCUAAUAGAAUUGGAGAGAUUUAAGAGAGCACACGGCUACAGGACUGGUGGUGGAUCCCUGGACCACUCAAUAUAGCCGACAUUAUCACUCGAGGAGCUGGGCCAAAGGAACUUGAUGCCCAUUCAGAGUGGCAGCAAGGGCCAGAGUUUCUAUAUCUUCCAGAGAGCGAGUGGCCAAUUAUGUCGUCAAAAGAUGUGUCUGUGACAGCUCGAGAGAGCAUUAACAAUAUGCAAAAGAAGUCAUUUGUGGCAGCACUCACCAGAGCCCAAGCGAAAAGAAGUCUUCCAAGUCUUGUGGGACGAUUUCCUGCAGGUGCAGCUGUCCUAAACUUGGUGGAUGAGAGGCGCUUUAGUAGCCUAAAGUGUCUAAUCAAGACGGUUGCUUUGAUCUGGAGAGCCGCCAAAAAGUUUAGAUCUGCAACAAAAUCCAUUGAGACCCCAAAGUGGGAGGCGAUUCCCACAAAAGGAGUUAUCACCGCCACAGAACGUCAAGAGGCAAUAAGAGACAUCUAUCUUGCUGCUCAAGAGGGGGUGACGUUCCCAACUACCACUACGGACCGCUUGGUUGUGUACAGAGAGCCAGAAUCUGGGUUACUAGUCUGCGGUGGGAGAAUCCAUGGCUUCAGGGAGGAUGGCGCUGCAGUUCCCCUUCUGCCUUUCAAUGCAUGGGUCUCUACUUUAUUGGCACGGGAGGCGCACGAUGAGGGUCAUGAAGGUGUGGCUGCAACCCUGCUGAAAAUGAGUAGGAAAGCCUGGGUCAUCCAAGGAAGAAAAAUUUCCCAAAAAGUAGUGGAUAACUGCCUUUUCUGCAAAAAGUCAAGAGCAAGAAGGUGCGAACAGGUAAUGGCUGACUUACCUGCUGAAAGAGCCACACCUGCAGCUCCGUUCGAGUUCACUACAGUCGACCUCUUCGGACCGUACCUUGUCAAAGAUGACAUCAAGAAACGGGUCUCAAUGAAAGUGUGGGGUGUCGUCUUCAGCUGUAUGGCCAGCAGGGCAAUUCAUGCAGACCUGGUCAACACAAUGUCGACAGAGAGCUUCUUGAUGGCUUACCAACGCUUUACUGCAAUUAGAGGGCACCCAAGAAAGAUCUGGUCCGACCCGGGGACAAACUUCAUCGGCGCCAAACCUGUCCGAAGAGAGCUGUACCAGUUCCUGGAUGCUCAGAAUAGAACUUCAAUAGAAGAGAUGUCGGCUCAAAAAGGUAACAAAUGGGAGUGGACAAUUCACCCUGCUGACUCACCUCACCGCGAUGGGGCUGCUGAAGCCGCUGUUUGCAUUCUCAAGAAGGCACUGCAGAGCCUGGGCAACAACACAGGCCUUAGCUACAGCGAGCUUCAGACAACACUACAACUUGCUGCAAACCUUGCCAACGAAUGCCCAAUAGAUGCCAGGGUGCAGAGCCAUGAAGAAAGCGUGCAGUAUGUGUCACCCAACACACUUCUCCUGGGCUGGGCCUCUCCAAGCGGUGAGAUCAGAACAUUUGACUUUGCGAACUACCCUUACAAGAGACUCAGAGAGAUGCAGAACCAGGUCAGCAAAAGCUGGAGGUCUUGGAGCCAGCUUGCCGGCCCAAACUUAUUUCUGAGAAGUAAAUGGCACACUUCAUAUCGCAACGUUGCUGUCGGAGAUAUUGUCUGGUUGUGUGACCAAAAUGCAAUGAGGGGCCAAUUCAAACUAGGACGGGUGAUGAGCGUUAAUCCAGAUGCUAAGGGCAUUGUUCGAGACGUGAACGUCAAAGUGGUCCAAAGCUCCUGCCUUCCUGUCACAAAACCCGCACUAAACCGACCAUCGGCCAAAGUCCUGAAAGAAGCUACGCAAACAACAGUCCUGCACAGAGAUGUUCGACGCUUGGUUGUCUUGCUACCAGUUGAGGAUCAAACUCGGAGCUGACCGGCAGUAUGUAGGUGCUGAUUUACAAUCUUUCCAUCGGUUCCCGUGGGAAGAUUGAGUGGGAGGUGUGCUGUCAAACUGCCUGGGAGCUCCUCAGUGGUGAAACUCCUCCUCCUUCAAUCAGUGGUGAACCAGGUGGAACAAAUCUUCCAGGCAAUCUGGGCGUGCAGCACCUGGCUCUGCUGUUGUCUUUAGAACGCAGUGAAAGGAGCAUUUAUAGCACCACAAGACCAAGGAAACUUCAUCUAUGUGAUCAAGGUGACUGUGCAAGUCCAAGCCCUCCACAAAACUGUGAAAGACAGCCGGUUUUUCACCUGUUUACUGCCAACCAAAGAAUGGUAAAUAAAAGACAAACAACUGA